CAUGUCCUUUUGAAAAUAAUUUAAGGUCUGAUCUGCUCAAUGAUUAAUUAAAUUGCCGCAGUAUUUUGACUGUGCAAAGGUAGCAUAAUAAUUAGUUUUUUGAUUAAAAGCUUGAAUGAAUGAUUGGACGAGAAAAUUACUGUCUCUUUUUAAUUUAUUUUUGAAUUUUAUUUUUAAGUUAAAAAGCUUAAAUUUAAAUAAAAGACGAGAAGACCCUAUAGAGUUUUAUAGUUAAAUUUUAUUUUUUUUUAGAAAAAAAUUUAAUAUUUAAUUAUUUAAUUGGGGUGAUUUGGAGAUUAAUAUAAUUCUUUAAAAUUAAAAUUGAUGAUUAUUAAAUUCUUUAUCUAAGUUUUUUAAAUUUAAUAUAAAUUACCUUAGGGAUAACAGCGUUAUUUUUCUUUAGAGUUCUUAUUGAAAGGAAAUUUUGCGACCUCGAUGUUGGAUUAAAAUAAAUUUUUGGUGCAAAAGCUUAAAAAUUAGGUCUGUUCGACCUUUAAUAUUUUACAUGAUCUGAGUUUAAACCGGUGUGAGCCAGGUUGGAUUCUAUCUUUAAUUUUAUUAUACAUUUUAGUACGAAAGGACCAAAUGUAUGUUAUAUUUAAUUG
RNAcentral lists this ribosomal RNA (605 nucleotides) under Xylobanellus sp. UPOL A00616. Its description in RNAcentral is "partial 16S ribosomal RNA". It matches the Rfam family "Bacterial large subunit ribosomal RNA", at positions 1822 to 2715 of the family's 2925-position model. The record is from RNAcentral. Lineage: Eukaryota; Metazoa; Arthropoda; Insecta; Coleoptera; Lycidae.